AACUUAGGUUCCAAAGAUGACAAAAGUUUCUAAUUUAUUUGCAUAGAAACACAAAUAUGGCCACGGACAAUGUUUCCACCAAAAAGCUUGAUCUCCGCUUUUAGUUAGCACAUCAUGCUUAGAAUGGUGUAAAUCCUUAAGUAGGCCAUUUGAAAUAGGCCUGGUGUCUUGCGCUAGCAGCAGUGGUAGAUUUGGGACUCUCAAAUUUCAGCGGCACAGUGUGCAAUGCUAAAAUUUGGUGCCCCCUGCCUCUUGCACUCCCAGUGCAGCUGAACCAGCUUUGCUGCCCUAUAACCACCUCUGCCAGCAGAUUCUCCCUGCACUGCCCUUCUAAGACCCUACAUGUGUGGAAGGAUGCACAAGGGCCAGGAUAGACUUGGAAGGGACUUUGAGGAACAUCUAGUUCAACCGCUGCAAUGCUGGAAUAUGCACUUGUCUCAUAUGGGGAUUGAACCUGCAACAUUGACAUUGGGGCAACCCAGGAGAUGGAAGGAAGAUGGAUCUCUCCACGGUGAUGCUGACAUUUGUGAUCUGCUUCCUGCUUUCCCUGGUGGUGCUCAUUUAUCGUGAUGUCCGAAGAACAGAUAUCCCUGCAGGAAUCGAUGGACCUUUCAAACUCUUCCUAAUUUCCAUUAUGUUACACUCAUCCUUGCGUAUGGUAAGUUGGAUGGACUUUGAACCUGGAGUUUCUGUGGGGCAGCUCAGUCGCUAGAGCAUGAGACUCUUAAUCUCAGGGUUAUCUGCUCGAGCCCCACGUUGGGCAAAAUAUUUCUGCAUUGCAGGGGGUUGGACUAGAUGGCCCUUGUGGUCCCUUCCAGUUCUACAAAUUCUAUGAUUCUGCUAUUUUUUUAGUUGUAUGGGGGCUGGCCAGCCAGGAAUGGUUCAAACAGGCAACAUGUUUUAGGAGGUGCAACCCCACCCACCCCAUCAUAGAAAAACGGAAUUGUAGAGUUGGAAGGGACCACAAACCCAAGCACCACUCUGCAAGGCAGGAAUCUGUCACCAAAUGUGGAACUCGAACCCAGGACCCUAGGAUUAAGAAUCUCAUGCUCUAUCUACUGAGCUAGCCAGCCUGAAGGAUUCAUGUAUUAUAAAUAGAGAUCUGUGCAAAAAACCCUCUCCCAAAUUUCCAGUUCUCUCUCCUCCACAGUUCAAAUACAGUGUUGAUCAUCAAUGUGACUUCUGGAGGAUGCUUUGUGCUACGACUUCUAG
This 1212-nucleotide long non-coding RNA is filed under the name Podarcis muralis (Common wall lizard). Its description in RNAcentral is "lncRNA (ENSPMRG00000012801.1)". Lineage: Eukaryota; Metazoa; Chordata; Lepidosauria; Squamata; Lacertidae. The record is from RNAcentral.